CGAAGCAGGCGGGGGGGCCGGAGCGCGUCUCUCGCCUCACCCCGCCGGGGAGAAUGUCGCGCCCCCGACACGGACUUCAAGAAAUAUGCAUUGUUACAAUUUUACUUUGGAAUUGAUGAAGUGGAAAUACAGAUGAAACCAGUUUGCAGAAUAUCGACCAUACAGCUCUUUGAUUAAAGAAAACAAGCUGGAAUAAUCGCUGCUUCAGCUGGCUUCCAAAUCGGCUAUCGGAUUUCACUAAACAGCCCAGCUUAAAACUUGCCACACAGCAGGGCCGGUUGCCAAGGGUGACAGUGCACAGGAAGGAUAUAAAUGUGAACAAUGAUUUGUCUGCAAGUUUACAUCAGAGUGCUGGGCUUCUGUGUCUUCUUAAUUGUUUCUC
Long non-coding RNA from Gekko japonicus, 382 nucleotides. RefSeq lists it as uncharacterized. The transcript is spliced from 3 exons. Lineage: Eukaryota; Metazoa; Chordata; Lepidosauria; Squamata; Gekkonidae. The record is from RefSeq and is a predicted model, not a curated record.